GAUGAACGCUAGCGGCAGGCUAACACAUGCAAGUCGAGGGGUAGAACACUUCGGUGUUUGAGACCGGCGCACGGGUGCGUAACGCGUAUGCAAUCUGCCUUACACUAAGGGAUAGCCCAGAGAAAUUUGGAUUAAUACCUUAUAGUAUAUUGAUGUGGCAUCACAUUAUUAUUAAAGAUUUAUUGGUGUAAGAUGAGCAUGCGUCCCAUUAGCUAGUUGGUAUGGUAACGGCAUACCAAGGCAAUGAUGGGUAGGGGUCCUGAGAGGGAGAUCCCCCACACUGGUACUGAGACACGGACCAGACUCCUACGGGAGGCAGCAGUGAGGAAUAUUGGUCAAUGGGCGCAAGCCUGAACCAGCCAUGCCGCGUGCAGGAUGAAGCAUCUAUGGUGUGUAAACUGCUUUUGUACGGGAAGAAACACUCCUUCGUGAAGGAGCUUGACGGUACCGUAAGAAUAAGGAUCGGCUAACUCCGUG
Molecule: ribosomal RNA, 477 nt
Filed under: uncultured bacterium
Lineage: Bacteria
Description: bacterial SSU rRNA
Rfam family: Bacterial small subunit ribosomal RNA
Source: RNAcentral